GGGGAUUUAGCUCAGUGGCAUAAGUGCCUGCCUGGCAAGCACGAGGUCAAGGUCGUGAGUUUAAUCCCCA
RNAcentral lists this transfer RNA (70 nucleotides) under Cavia porcellus (domestic guinea pig). It matches the Rfam family "tRNA". From Rfam's summary of the family: Transfer RNA (tRNA) molecules are approximately 80 nucleotides in length. The record is from Rfam by way of RNAcentral. Lineage: Eukaryota; Metazoa; Chordata; Mammalia; Rodentia; Caviidae.